GCGGAUGUAGCCAAGUGGAUCAAGGCAGUGGAUUGUGAAUUCACCAUGCGCGGGUUCAAUUCCCGUCGUUCGCCC
This 75-nucleotide transfer RNA is filed under the name Calotropis gigantea (mudar). RNAcentral describes it as "tRNA-His". It matches the Rfam family "tRNA". Rfam says of the family: Transfer RNA (tRNA) molecules are approximately 80 nucleotides in length. Their secondary structure includes four short double-helical elements and three loops (D, anti-codon, and T loops). RNAcentral also lists the same sequence under 2 other names. Lineage: Eukaryota; Viridiplantae; Streptophyta; Magnoliopsida; Gentianales; Apocynaceae. The record is from RNAcentral.